Molecule: ribosomal RNA, 411 nt
Filed under: uncultured bacterium
Lineage: Bacteria
Description: bacterial SSU rRNA
Rfam family: Bacterial small subunit ribosomal RNA
Source: RNAcentral
UUUGGAAUUUUGGACAAUGGGCGAAAGCCUGAUCCAGCGACGCCGCGUGGACGAUGACGGCCUUCGGGUUGUAAAGUCCUUUUGGCAGGGAAGAAUUUUUUGACGGUACCUGCAGAAUAAGAGGUUGCUAACUCUGUGCCAGCAGCAGCGGUAAUACAGAGACCUCGAGCGUUAUCCGGAAUCAUUGGGCGUAAAGCGUACCGAUCGGUGGUUUUGCAAGUCAGAGGUGAAAUUCCAAGGCUCAACCUUGGGACUGUCCUUUGAAACUGCAACACUAGAGGGACAAAGAGGAAGCUAGAACUAACGGUGUAGGGGUAAUAUCCGUUGAUAUCGUUAGGAAUACCGAUAGCGAAGGCAGGCUUCUGGGUGUCACCUGACACUGCUAGGACGAAAGCGUGGGGAGCAAAAAGG